RNAcentral lists this ribosomal RNA (589 nucleotides) under uncultured Campylobacterota bacterium. RNAcentral's name for it is "bacterial SSU rRNA". It matches the Rfam family "Bacterial small subunit ribosomal RNA", at positions 765 to 1351 of the family's 1533-position model. The record is from RNAcentral. Lineage: Bacteria; Pseudomonadati; Campylobacterota.
GGAGCAAACAGGAUUAGAUACCCUGGUAGUCCACGCCCUAAACGAUGUACUUAGUUGUUGCUAUGCUAGACAUAGCAGUAAUGCAGUUAACACAUUAAAUGUACCGCCUGGGGAGUACGGUCGCAAGAUUAAAACUCAAAGGAAUAGACGGGGACCCGCACAAGCGGUGGAGCAUGUGGUUUAAUUCGACUAUACGCGAAGAACCUUACCUGGCCUUGACAUAGAAAGAAUUUAGCAGAGAUGUAAAAGUGCUAGUUUACUAGAGCUUUCAUACAGGUGCUGCACGGCUGUCGUCAGCUCGUGUCGUGAGAUGUUGGGUUAAGUCCCGCAACGAGCGCAACCCUCGUGUUUAGUUGCUAACAGGUUAAGCUGAGGACUCUAGACAGACUGCCUGGGUAACCAGGAGGAAGGUGAGGACGACGUCAAGUCAUCAUGGCCCUUACGGCCAGGGCUACACACGUGCUACAAUGGGAUAUACAAAGAGCAGCGAUACCGCGAGGUGGAGCAAAUCUCAUAAAAUAUCUCCCAGUUCGGAUUACACUCUGCAACUCGAGUGUAUGAAGUUGGAAUCGCUAGUAAUCGUAGAUCA